UGCAGUCGAGCGGACAGAUGGGAGCUUGCUCCCUGAUGUUAGCGGCGGACGGGUGAGUAACACGUGGGUAACCUGCCUGUAAGACUGGGAUAACUCCGGGAAACCGGGGCUAAUACCGGAUGCUUGUUUGAACCGCAUGGUUCAAACAUAAAAGGUGGCUUCGGCUACCACUUACAGAUGGACCCGCGGCGCAUUAGCUAGUUGGUGAGGUAAUGGCUCACCAAGGCGACGAUGCGUAGCCGACCUGAGAGGGUGAUCGGCCACACUGGGACUGAGACACGGCCCAGACUCCUACGGGAGGCAGCAGUAGGGAAUCUUCCGCAAUGGACGAAAGUCUGACGGAGCAACGCCGCGUGAGUGAUGAAGGUUUUCGGAUCGUAAAGCUCUGUUGUUAGGGAAGAACAAGUACCGUUCGAAUAGGGCGGUACCUUGACGGUACCUAACCAGAAAGCCACGGCUAACUACGUGCCAGCAGCCGCGGUAAUACGUAGGUGGCAAGCGUUGUCCGGAAUUAUUGGGCGUAAAGGGCUCGCAGGCGGUUUCUUAAGUCUGAUGUGAAAGCCCCCGGCUCAACCGGGGAGGGUCAUUGGAAACUGGGGAACUUGAGUGCAGAAGAGGAGAGUGGAAUUCCACGUGUAGCGGUGAAAUGCGUAGAGAUGUGGAGGAACACCAGUGGCGAAGGCGACUCUCUGGUCUGUAACUGACGCUGAGGAGCGAAAGCGUGGGGAGCGAACAGGAUUAGAUACCCUGGUAGUCCACGCCGUAAACGAUGAGUGCUAAGUGUUAGGG
This 789-nucleotide ribosomal RNA is filed under the name Bacillus tequilensis. Its description in RNAcentral is "bacterial SSU rRNA". It matches the Rfam family "Bacterial small subunit ribosomal RNA", at positions 56 to 828 of the family's 1533-position model. The record is from RNAcentral. Lineage: Bacteria; Bacillati; Bacillota; Bacilli; Caryophanales; Bacillaceae.